GACGAACGCUGGCGGCGUGCUUAACACAUGCAAGUCGAACGGUAAGGCCCUUCGGGGUACACGAGUGGCGAACGGGUGAGUAACACGUGGGUGAUCUGCCCUGCACUUUGGGAUAAGCCUGGGAAACUGGGUCUAAUACCGAAUAGGACCAUGGACUUCACGGUUUGUGGUGGAAAGCUUUUGCGGUGUGGGGAUGGGCCCGCGGCCUAUCAGCUUGUUGGUGGGGUAAUGGCCUACCAAGGCGACGACGGGUAGCCGGCCUGAGAGGGUGACCGGCCACACUGGGACUGAGAUACGGCCCAGACUCCUACGGGAGGCAGCAGUGGGGAAUAUUGCACAAUGGGCGCAAGCCUGAUGCAGCGACGCCGCGUGAGGGAUGACGGCCUC
RNAcentral lists this ribosomal RNA (387 nucleotides) under uncultured bacterium. RNAcentral's name for it is "bacterial SSU rRNA". It matches the Rfam family "Bacterial small subunit ribosomal RNA", at positions 28 to 418 of the family's 1533-position model. The record is from RNAcentral.